Cyprinus carpio carpio is the source of this 2959-nucleotide long non-coding RNA. The record is from Ensembl. Lineage: Eukaryota; Metazoa; Chordata; Actinopteri; Cypriniformes; Cyprinidae.
AUGGAGUUUGAGGAUACUGAGAAUUUGAUUUUCAUUUGUUUUGAAAUGUUGAUUUUAGGCCUGAUGGAGGUGAAUUUCACACAAAAACAAGCUGGAAAAACUGGACUCAAAGGAUCUUUCACCUGCUCUGAUUGUGGAAAGAGUUACAUACAUAAAAUGCAAAACAUGAAAUCUCACACUGGAGAAAGAACAUUCACAUGCAGUCAGUGUGGAAACAGUUACACGCUUCAAAAACUUGUGCACAAGAUAUCAUACUGGAGAGAGGCCUUAUUCAUGCACUCUGUGUGGAAAGAGUUUUUAACACCAUACUGACCACAGAUCAAGUGUGUAUUUACAUUUUUUCAACUGGAAUGGCACCAAAUAUUUUUCAAUUCCUAUUUAAAUUGACAUUUACAAUAUAAGAGAAAAUAAAAUCAGUUAUGAAACCUGAAUGAAAUACACAUGGAGAUCUGUUUUUGAAUGAAUAUGUUCAGUUGGUUUGUGCAUAGCCUAUUAUUUCCUGUUAUAUAAUGAUUUGUGCUGUAGCAAUGUAUAAUUUUAUUUGCCAUUUCAUCUUGUAUUUCUUAUAAAAGUGAUAUAAUGACUAAACUAGUCAGUUUAAAUUUCCACUAUAUACUUUUGCAUCUGACAGGCUUCACAUGAUGUAUUUGCUUCAAUUCACAAGCUUGUGACUUACUUCACAGAUCUCCAUUUUCCACUUUUUCAUGUUGUUUCCAAACAUCUCAAGCAUUUGAUCUGAUUUGGUCACAUUGUUCAGUUCACUAGAAUUAACACAAUAUACUGAUCUAGGUCAUCCUUGCAUUUCAUGUCAAAUUUUGUGCUUUAUACAUUAUAAAUAAUAUUUUUUAUAAUUCAGUGCAGUUAUGGCAUCAAGGUUCUGCCGACUCGUGAUGCAUUCAUGAUGCAACCAAAAUGCCUGCGAGUUUGCACAGAGAAGAACUUCUGCUGUCUAGUGGCCAAAGAUGGUAACAAGAGCUAGUUCAGGUUUGCAUUAUAAUGCACCUGAAUUCAUCAUAACUUGCUUUAUAUUCAAUAGACCAGCAAUAACAAAACAUCUGAAAAUGUAUUACUAUGGUUCACUUUAAAUAAAUUAACAUUUUGAAUAUAUAUUUAAACAGGGGCGUCAAUUGGGUGUGGCGGUUACCUGGUCAGGUUAAUGCGAAGUAAUAUAUUUUUAUUGCAGGAUUAACAGAGAUAUAUUGCUAUGUAUAAUCUAAUUUGACAAAAGCAAGUAAUUUAAGCUAAAUAAAGCUUUCCAUUGAUGUAUGGUUUGUUAGGAGGACAAUAUUUGGCCGAGAUACAACUAUUUGAAUUUUUUUUCUAAUUUAAAGCAGUUUUAAUAUAUAUAUAUAUUUUAAUGGCCAUUUUUGCAUAAAUAUUCUCUCUCUCUCUCUCUCUCUCUAGGCUACAGUGUGUGUGUUUUAAUGUGUUUUUAUGGAUAUUGGGCGUGUUUCACAUUCCUAAAUGAAAAUUUCCCAUAUAACACUGGAACAUUUUGCCUUCUUCUCCCAGAAAGGAUCAUGUUCAAGCAGGUGAUAUGGACGUCAGUCGAUGUUGGAUCAGGCCUAUUCCAAUACAGUAUCCAGAUUUGUUUGCUUCAGGGGCAAUUUUCUCAUUUUUACUGCAUUGUGGUUGUUCUCUUUCUUUGCAUGACUCUUAACAAAAUAUUCUUGAUGUACACAAAUACAAGGUUACCCAACUUACAAUAAAACAUACUGCAAGUGUCAACAUUCAUGGUUUAAAAUAUGCCUUACUGUUUUAUAUCCUUAUUAAACACCUGGAUUUGAAAUUGGGAGAACCGUGACGUCACAAUUCUCCUCGACAUGCCCCUAAACAUGCAUAUUCAUCAUAUUGAAUCAAGGAGUUAAAAACAUUUACAUUUAGUCAUUUAGCAGACCCUUUUAUCCAAAGCGACUUACAGAUGAGAACAAUGGAAGCAAUCAAAAUGAACAAAAGAGCAAUGAUAUACAAGUGCUAUAACAAGUCUCAGUUAGCUUAACGCAAUACACAUGGCAAGGGCUUUUAAAUAAUAUAAUAAAUAAAAAGAAAACAGAUAGAAUAGAAAAAGAAUAGAGCAAGCUAGUGUUAGAGGUCUUUUUUUUUGCUUUUGUCAAUUGUAUAAUAAAUAAAAAGAAAACAGAUAGAAUACAAAAAGAUUAGAAAGCUAGUUAGAAUUUUUAAGAAUAGAAUUAGAAUAGUGAGUGCUAAAGUUAGAGGGUCAAAUAAAGAUGGAAGAGAUGUGUUUUUAGCCGAUUCUUGAAGAUGGCUGUUCUUGAGUGUGCUGUACAUGAACUGUAUCACUCACCUCUUUGAUUCUGAUACAUCAGAUUGACUCUCAGGUAUUUCUGCAUCACGAGAGACUGAAGAUGCAAAAAUAAUAGGCUACUGCUUAUUACCCUCAUAGAGUUUGCUGGAUGAAUUGUUGCAUAUUAGAAGAGGUGAUAACGUAAAAGCGAGUGAGAAAAAAUAAGCUGCUCUCUGUUUAUCACUAUAACUGAACUUCAAGUUACUCCAAUAAUAAAAAAAAAAAAACGCAAGCAACUAGAAAGUGACUGAUUUUAUAUUCCCUGUGGUUUCUUUUCAAGUUUUAAUAUCCAUCAAGGAUUCAUCAGGGCUAUUAAAUACUCACAGUGUGGUUUCGGAUCACUCAUUCUAUUCCGUUUAACAAUAUUUUCCACAUUUGCUGGUUUAAAUCACCUGAUUCAGGAUGUUAUCACUCGACUGAAUGGCCGUUAUCAGUGAUAACAUCUGAAUCGGGUGGUUUUGAUCCUCUGGCUUGUGAAUUUUCCUCCAUCCUCUUCCUCUUAAUCUCUCUCCUCUAAUUCUUCCAUCUUUUAUGUGUUUUCCCGAACAAAUCGCACUAAAUAAACUGCGGGGCAUUGUUUUUUUCUCUCUGUCUCUGUGAACAUUACUACAUAAAAAUACCAGUCUUUCAGAUAUCAAUGUAUUUAUGUUUUCA